AGCUCUUUGUUUCGGAAACAAGAGGUCUUGAAAACCUCUAAUAGGCGUUCGACCCGCCUAAGGGCUU
RNAcentral lists this transfer RNA (67 nucleotides) under Marenzelleria neglecta. RNAcentral's name for it is "tRNA-Ser". The record is from RNAcentral. Lineage: Eukaryota; Metazoa; Annelida; Polychaeta; Spionida; Spionidae.